RNAcentral lists this ribosomal RNA (108 nucleotides) under Candidatus Scatoplasma merdavium. Lineage: Bacteria; Bacillati; Bacillota; Bacilli; Caryophanales. The record is from RNAcentral.
CCCGGCUUCGAUUACGCAGUGGCCACACCUGUUCCCAUCCCGAACACAGAAGUUAAGCACUGCAGUGCCUGAUGUAUCCUUUAUGGAAAGAUAUGGUCGUCGCCGGGU